AACGAACGCUAUCGGUAUGCUUAACACAUGCAAGUCGGACGGACUAAUUAGGGCUUGCUCCAAUUAGUUAGUGGCAGACGGGUGAGUAACACGUGGGAAUCUGCCCAUCAGUACGGAAUAACUUUUAGAAAUAAAAGCUAAUACCGUAUAUUCUCUACAGAGGAAAGAUUUAUCGCUGAUGGAUGAGCCCGCGUCAGAUUAGGUAGUUGGUGAGGUAACGGCUCACCAAGCCGACGAUCUGUAGCUGGUCUGAGAGGAUGAUCAGCCACACUGGGACUGAGACACGGCCCAGACUCCUACGGGAGGCAGCAGUGGGGAAUAUUGGACAAUGGGCGAAAGCCUGAUCCAGCAAUACCGAGGGAGUGAUAAAGGCCCUAGGGUUGUAAAGCUCUUUUAGCAAGGAAGAUAAUGACGUUACUUGCAGAAAAAGCCCCGGCUAACUCCGU
This 446-nucleotide ribosomal RNA is filed under the name uncultured bacterium. RNAcentral describes it as "partial 16S ribosomal RNA". It matches the Rfam family "Bacterial small subunit ribosomal RNA", at positions 29 to 506 of the family's 1533-position model. The record is from RNAcentral.